AGAAUCAACGCUGGCGGCGUGCCUAACACAUGCAAGUCGAACGAGAAAGUGGAGCAAUCCAUGAGUAAAGUGGCGCACGGGUGAGUAACACGUGACUAACCUACCCUUGAGUGGGGAAUAACUGAGGGAAACCUUAGCUAAUACCGCAUAAUACCUACGGGUCAAAGGAGCAAUUCGCUUAAGGAGGGGUCGCGGCAGAUUAGCUAGUUGGCGGGUAAUGGCCCACAAGGCAGUGAUCUGUA
Molecule: ribosomal RNA, 242 nt
Filed under: uncultured bacterium
Lineage: Bacteria
Description: partial small subunit ribosomal RNA
Rfam family: Bacterial small subunit ribosomal RNA
Source: RNAcentral